Molecule: transfer-messenger RNA, 363 nt
Filed under: Salmonella enterica
Lineage: Bacteria; Pseudomonadati; Pseudomonadota; Gammaproteobacteria; Enterobacterales; Enterobacteriaceae
Rfam family: transfer-messenger RNA
About the family: Bacterial tmRNA, also known as 10Sa RNA or SsrA, is named for its dual tRNA and mRNA-like properties. Its role is to liberate the mRNA from a stalled ribosome.
Source: RNAcentral
GGGGUUGAUUCUGGAUUCGACGGGAUUUGCGAAACCCAAGGUGCAUGCCGAGGGGCGGUUGGCCUCGUAAAAAGCCGCAAAAAAAUAGUCGCAAACGACGAAAACUACGCUUUAGCAGCUUAAUAACCUGCUUAGAGCCCUCUCUCCCUAGCCUCCGCUCUUAGGACGGGGAUCAAGAGAGGUCAAACCCAAAAGAGAUCGCGCGGAUGCCCUGCCUGGGGUUGAAGCGUUAAAACGAAUCAGGCUAGUCUGGUAGUGGCGUGUCCGUCCGCAGGUGCCAGGCGAAUGUAAAGACUGACUAAGCAUGUAGUACCGAGGAUGUAGGAAUUUCGGACGCGGGUUCAACUCCCGCCAGCUCCACCA